RNAcentral lists this ribosomal RNA (449 nucleotides) under uncultured Gammaproteobacteria bacterium. RNAcentral's name for it is "bacterial SSU rRNA". It matches the Rfam family "Bacterial small subunit ribosomal RNA", at positions 1072 to 1533 of the family's 1533-position model. Lineage: Bacteria; Pseudomonadati; Pseudomonadota; Gammaproteobacteria. The record is from RNAcentral.
GAGAGUGGGUAGUCCGUACGAGCGCACCUUGUCCUUAUUUGCCAGCACGUAAUGGUGGGAACUCUAAGGAGACUGCCGGUGACAAACCGGAGGAAGGUGGGGACGACGUCAAGUCAUCAUGGCCCUUAUGACCAGGGCUACACACGUGCUACAAUGGAGCGUACAGAGGGUUGCUAAGCCGCGAGGUGGAGCCAAUCCCAGAAAACGUUUCGUAGUCCGGAUCGAAGUCUGCAACUCGACUUCGUGAAGUCGGAAUCGCUAGUAAUCGCGAAUCAGCAUGUCGCGGUGAAUACGUUCCCGGGCCUUGUACACACCGCCCGUCACACCAUGGGAGUUGGUUCUACCUUAAGGCAAGGUUUUAAACCCUUGACCACGGUAUAGUCAGCGACUGGGGUGAAGUCGUAACAAGGUAGCCGUAGGGGAACCUGCGGCUGGAUUACCUCCUUUCU